This 88-nucleotide non-coding RNA is filed under the name Chaetoceros neogracilis. The record is from RNAcentral. Lineage: Eukaryota; Bacillariophyta; Thalassiosirophyceae; Chaetocerotales; Chaetocerotaceae.
UGGGGUUAAACUCCCCGGACGCAAGGGUAGAGAGUACCAGCUAGAAACAGCCGCCGGCGUGGAUGCCGAUCCUGCGAAGACGGUCGCC